This 453-nucleotide ribosomal RNA is filed under the name uncultured bacterium. RNAcentral describes it as "bacterial SSU rRNA". It matches the Rfam family "Bacterial small subunit ribosomal RNA", at positions 340 to 783 of the family's 1533-position model. The record is from RNAcentral.
UACGGGAGGCAGCAGUGGGGAAUAUUGCACAAUGGGCGCAAGCCUGAUGCAGCCAUGCCGCGUGUAUGAAAAAGGCCUUCGGGCUGUAAAGUACUUUCAGUCGUGAGGAAGGUGUUAAGGUUAAUAACCUUAGCAAUUGACGUUAGCGACAGAAGAAGCACCGGCUAACUCCGUGCCAGCAGCCGCGGUAAUACGGAGGGUGCGAGCGUUAAUCGGAAUUACUGGGCGUAAAGGGCACGCAGGCGGUUAAUUAAGUUGGAUGUGAAAUCCCCGGGCUUAACCUGGGAAUGGCAUUCAAGACUGGUUAGCUAGAGUCUUGUAGAGGGGGGUAGAAUUCCAUGUGUAGCGGUGAAAUGCGUAGAGAUGUGGAGGAAUACCGGUGGCGAAGGCGGCCCCUGGACAAAGGACUGACGCUCAUGUGCGAAAGCGUGGGGAGCAAACAGGGAUUUAGAU